UGUUUCGGCUAGGGGGCCAUCCCGGCUUACCAACCCGAUGCAAACUGCGAAUACCGGAGAAUGUUAUCACGGGAGACACACGGCGGGUGCUAACGUCCGUCGUGAAGAGGGAAACAACCCAGACCGCCAGCUAAGGUCCCAAAGUCAUGGUUAAGUGGGAAACGAUGUGGGAAGGCCCAGACAGCCAGGAUGUUGGCUUAGAAGCAGCCAUCAUUUAAAGAAAGCGUAAUAGCUCACUGGUCGAGUCGGCCUGCGCGGAAGAUGUAACGGGGCUAAACCAUGCACCGAAGCUGCGGCAGCGACACUGUGUGUUGUUGGGUAGGGGAGCG
This 329-nucleotide ribosomal RNA is filed under the name Salmonella enterica. RNAcentral describes it as "partial 23S ribosomal RNA". It matches the Rfam family "Bacterial large subunit ribosomal RNA", at positions 911 to 1238 of the family's 2925-position model. The record is from RNAcentral. RNAcentral also lists the same sequence under 3 other names. Lineage: Bacteria; Pseudomonadati; Pseudomonadota; Gammaproteobacteria; Enterobacterales; Enterobacteriaceae.